RNAcentral lists this ribosomal RNA (236 nucleotides) under uncultured bacterium. Its description in RNAcentral is "partial 16S ribosomal RNA". It matches the Rfam family "Bacterial small subunit ribosomal RNA", at positions 524 to 759 of the family's 1533-position model. The record is from RNAcentral.
UACGUAGGGUGCGAGCGUUAAUCGGAAUUACUGGGCGUAAAGCGUGCGCAGGCGGCUUUGCAAGACAGAUGUGAAAUCCCCGGGCUCAACCUGGGAACUGCAUUUGUGACUGCAAGGCUAGAGUACGGCAGAGGGGGAUGGAAUUCCGCGUGUAGCAGUGAAAUGCGUAGAUAUGCGGAGGAACACCAAUGGCGAAGGCAAUCCCCUGGGGCUGUACUGACGCUCAUGCACGAAAG